AUUGCUCCAAUUUUGAAGGGGUCCACCAUCACACCUUCCUCUGAUAUGAUAUGCCCAAGAUAUCCCAUCUUUUGUUGAAGAAAGUAAAAAUUUCUAGUGGCCGUUGUGUGUUCGAAAGGCGAUUUUCGGUAUGACUUCUUCGUACACUCGUAUUUGAUAAUACCCGGAUCAAAGGUCCAUCUUUGUGAAGAUUUGUGCUCCCUUUCAUAUAGCAAUUCAUCUAGUACUAGAAUAGGGUAUU
Molecule: long non-coding RNA, 241 nt
Filed under: Musa acuminata (dwarf banana)
Lineage: Eukaryota; Viridiplantae; Streptophyta; Magnoliopsida; Zingiberales; Musaceae
Description: long non-coding RNA (MACU_LNC010289)
Source: RNAcentral